UACGAAGGGGGCUAGCGUUGCUCGGAAUCACUGGGCGUAAAGCGCACGUAGGCGGCUUUCUAAGUCAGGGGUGAAAUCCUGGAGCUCAACUCCAGAACUGCCUUUGAUACUGGCGACCUUGAGUUCGGGAGAGGUGAGUGGAACUGCGAGUGUAGAGGUGAAAUUCGUAGAUAUUCGCAAGAACACCAGUGGCGAAGGCGGCUCACUGGCCCGAUACUGACGCUGAGGUGCGAAAGCGUGGGGAGCAAACAGG
RNAcentral lists this ribosomal RNA (253 nucleotides) under uncultured bacterium. RNAcentral's name for it is "partial 16S ribosomal RNA". It matches the Rfam family "Bacterial small subunit ribosomal RNA", at positions 524 to 776 of the family's 1533-position model. The record is from RNAcentral.